GAUGAACGCUGGCGGCGUGCCUAAUACAUGCCAGUCGAGCGAACAGAUGAGGAGCUUGCUCCUCUGACGUUAGCGGCGGACGGGUGAGUAACACGUGGAUAACCUACCUAUAAGACUGGGAUAACUUCGGGAAACCGGAGCUAAUACCGGAUAAUAUAUUGAACCGCAUGGUUCAAUAGUGAAAGACGGUUUUGCUGUCACUUAUAGAUGGAUCCGCGCCGCAUUAGCUAGUUGGUAAGGUAACGGCUUACCAAGGCAACGAUGCGUAGCCAACCUGAGAGGGGGAUCGGCCCCCCUGGAAAUGAGACACGGUCCAGACCCCGAAGGGGGGCAGAAGGAGGGAAGCUUCCCCAAGGGGGGAAAGCAUGACGGAGCCACGCCGGGGGGGUGAUGAAGGGCUUCGGAUGGAAAAACCUUGUUAUUGGGGAAGAAAAAAUGUGGAAGUAACUAUGCACGUCUGGAGGGUACCGAAGAAGAAAGCCACGGCUAAAUAAGG
Molecule: ribosomal RNA, 496 nt
Filed under: uncultured bacterium
Lineage: Bacteria
Description: partial 16S ribosomal RNA
Rfam family: Bacterial small subunit ribosomal RNA
Source: RNAcentral